CGGCAUCGCCCUGUCGCAGGGGGAUGACGAUGGGGCGCGAUUGCAUGCGCGGGCGCUGCUCGGUGAGCACGAGUUCGCCGCCCGCGAAGUCGCGCUUCGGGUCCGACAGCAGGACGACGAGCUGCAGCGGGAAGACGUCGGGCGCGGGUUCGUGCUGCGUCAGCGGCCGCGCGUGGCCGGCCUCGACGACGUCCAGGCGUAUGUCGGGCGGAACGCCGGCCGGCGCCGAGGCCGGAUAGCGCCAGCCGGUCUGCAGGGUUUGCGCCCAGGCGUUGGCCAGCGGCGCGAGCUGCGCAUAAAGCGCGGCGCGCAGCGGCGCGAAGACGCCGGCCGCGACGCCCGGGCCUUGCGGCGGCAGGCAGGCAAGCAGCGCGGCGAUGGCCGGCGCGUCGAACAGCGCGGGCAGCAGGGCCCAGCCGUCGCGGUCCAGCCGCGCGUGCAGGGCGGCGCGGUCCAGGGCGGCGAUGGCCGCGGCGCCGGCUUGCAGGAUGCCGGGCGUCAGGGCGGGCGUCAUGGGGUGGCCGCUUCGCGGCGCAGCAGUUCGCGCUUGCGGUCCACGCCCCAGCGGUAGCCGGACAGGUCGCCGUCGCGCCGCACCACGCGGUGGCACGGGAUGGCCACCGCGAUCCGGUUGGCUGCGCAGGCCUGCGCCACGGCGCGCACGGCCCUGGGCGCGCCGAUGCGCUCGGCGAUGUCGGUGUAGCUGACGGUGGCGCCCGGCGGCACUUCGCGCAACGCCUGCCAGACGCGCUCCUGGAAGGCGGUGCCGCGGACGUCCAGCGGCAGGUUCAGGCCCAGGGCGGGCGCUUCGACAAAGCCCACCACCUCAGCCACCAGGCGCUCGAAGCCGGCGUCGCCGCCGAUCAGCGUGGCGCGCGGGAACAGGUCCUGCAACUGGCGCACCAGGUAGUCGGGGUCGUCGUCGAGCAGGAUGGCGCAGAUGCCGAGCUGGCUUUGCGCCACCAGGAUGGCGCCCAGCGCGCACUGGGCGACGGCGAAGCGGAUGCGGGCGUUGGCGCCGCCGGCGCGGUAGGCGCGCGGCGCCAUGCCCAGCAGCUGCUGCGAGGCCUCGUAGAAGCGGCUGUUGGAAUUGAAGCCGGCGUCGUAGAUGGCCGCCGUGACGCUGGCCGACUCGCCCAGCUCGGCGCGCAGGCGGCGCGCCCGCUGGGCGCUGGCAUAGGCCUUGGGCGUGAGGCCGGUUUCGGCCUUGAACAGGCGGUGCAGGUGGAACGGGCUCAGGCCCACGUGGGCGGCCAGCGCCUCCAGCGUGGGCGGGGUGUCGGCUUGCUCGAUAUGGCGGCAGGCGGCGGCCACCAGCGCACUGUGCUGGCGCGCGGUGACGGUGCGGUCGGCCGCGUUGUGGCGGCUGGGCCGGUAGCCGGCGGCGCGCGCCGCCUCCGCGUUGUCGAAGAACUCCACGUUCUCGCGGCGCGGCAGGCGCGCCGCGCUGCUGGGCCGGCCGUACACGCCGGUGGUGCGCACGGCAUAGACGAAGUGGCUGUCGGCCGCCGGGUCGCGCGCCUGGACGGCGGCCCAGCGCGCUUCGGGCGUGGCGUAGGCUGGAGCGGGGCGGACGGGGAGGUUCAUGGCGGGGUCCGGGCAGUGGCGUAUGGCUGCAAUGUAGGGCGCGAUUGCGCCGCAAGCACUACGUUUCUUGCGCGCGAAUCCGCGCCUCGGGCGGCACGCGCCACAGAUACCAGGCCGCCAGCGUGCGGUACGGCCCCCAGGCCUGGCCGAUGUCGCGCAUCUGGCGCGCGGUGGGCGUGGCGGCGGCGCCCUUGAGGCGCCGGUAGCCGUCGCGCACGCCGAAGUCGUCGGCCGGCAGGAUGUCGGCGCGCGCCAGCGUGUAGAUCAGCAGCAUUUCCACGGUCCAGCGGCCCACGCCGCGCAGCGUGGUCAGGCGCUCGACCAGCGCCUGGUCGCUCAUGCGCCGCGCGGCGCGCCGGUCCGGCACCACGCCGUCGCGCGCGGCCUGGGCGAUGCCCAGGAUGGUCUGGGUCUUGGCCGCCGAAAAGCCGCAGGCGCGCAAGGCGGCCGGGUCGGCGGCCAGCAAUUGGCCGGGAGCGGGAAAGGCGCCGCCGGGAAACAGCGCCAGCAGGCGUCCCACGAUGGCGUCGCCGGCGCGCGCGUGCAACUGCUGGUAGGCGAUGGCGCGCACCAGCGCUUCAUAGGGUUCGCGCGCCGGCAAGGGGCGGUGCAGGCAGGGGCCGGUGGCGGCGACGUGCCCGCGCCAGUCGGCGUCCAGGCCGGCGAGAAAGCGCUCGGCGUGGGCGUAGGCGGCAGGGCUGAGGGUGGCGGCGGUCAUGGUCGGCGUGGGCGCGGCAGUGGGGCCAUGACACUAGGAUAGCGCGCGCCGGCGCGCACCCGGUUUCUUGCCCGGGCUUGCGCCGGUCCCCGGCCGGCGCGCUACUCGCGCGCCUUGCCGGCCUGCUCGGCGACGUCCGGGCAGGGCGGUGCGUUCCGGGCGGCCUCGGCGAUCUGCUCGGGCGUGAGGUCCUGCUUGUGCGUGGCGAUGGACCACAGGUGGCCGAACGGGUCGCGCACCUGGCCAUAGCGGUCGCCCCAGAACAUGUCGGUGACCGGCAUCACGGACGUGGCGCCGGCCGCCACCGCCUGCGCGUGGGCGGCGUCCACGUCUUCGACGUACAGGUGCAGCACGACCGGCGUGCCGUUCAGCGCCUUGGGAUCGGGGGUGUCCCACUCGGGGAAGGCGUCCAUCAGCAUCAGGGUCGAAUCGCCGAUGCGCACGGCGCCGUGCAUCAGCCGGCCGUCGGGGCCGGCCAGGCGCGCCAUUUCGACCGCGCCGAAUGCCUUGAUGUAGAAAUCGAUGGCGCGCGCGGCGCCGGCGCAGAUGAUGUGCGGCGUGAGGGUGUGCAUGCCCUCGGGGAUGGGUUUGACAGCGGUGGCCAUGGGGUGUCUCCGGCAGGAAGGGGAGGCGCCGGCGGCGCCGGCCUGGAGCAGGCGCGGCGGGGC
Molecule: ribosomal RNA, 2973 nt
Filed under: Bordetella bronchiseptica 00-P-2730
Lineage: Bacteria; Pseudomonadati; Pseudomonadota; Betaproteobacteria; Burkholderiales; Alcaligenaceae
Description: 23S ribosomal RNA
Source: RNAcentral